GCAGAGGAUGCUUCGGGAGUGGCCCCCAUCUAAGUGCUUUGGAACGGGCCGUCAUAGAGGGUGAGAAUCCCGUAUGGGAUGGGGUGUCCGCGACCAUGUGAAGCUCCUUCGACGAGUCGAGUUGUUUGGGAAUGCAGCUCUAAAUGGGUGGUAAAUUUCAUCUAAAGCUAAAUAUUGGCCGGAGACCGAUAGCGCACAAGUAGAGUGAUCGAAAGAUGAAAAGCACUUUGAAAAGAGAGUUAAAAAGCACGUGAAAUUGUUGAAAGGGAAGCGCUUGCGACCAGACUCGCCUACGGGGUUCAGCCGGUAUUCGUACCGGUGUACUUCCCCGUGGGCGGGCCAGCGUCGGUUUGGGCGGCCGGUCAAAGGCCCUCGGAAUGUAACGCCUCUCGGGGCGUCUUAUAGCCGAGGGUGCCAUGCGGCCAGCCCGGACCGAGGAACGCGCUUCGGCACGGACGCUGGCAUAAUGGUCGUAAGCGACCCGUCUUGAAACACGGACCAAGGAGUCUAACAUCUACGCGAGUGUUCGGGUGUCAAACCCGUGCGCGCAGUGAAAGCGAACGGAGGUGGGAACCCUCACGGGUGCACCAUCGACCGAUCCUGAUGUCUUCGGAUGGAUUUGAGUAAGAGCGUAGCUGUUGGGACCCGAAAGAUGGUGAACUAUGCCUGAAUAGGGCGAAGCCAGAGGAAACUCUGGUGGAGGCUCGCAGCGGUUCUGACGUGCAAAUCGAUCGUCAAAUUUGGGUAUAGGGGCGAAA
This 758-nucleotide unclassified non-coding RNA is filed under the name Penicillium cravenianum. RNAcentral describes it as "sequence contains 28S rRNA gene". It matches the Rfam family "Eukaryotic large subunit ribosomal RNA", at positions 151 to 928 of the family's 3401-position model. The record is from RNAcentral. Lineage: Eukaryota; Fungi; Ascomycota; Eurotiomycetes; Eurotiales; Aspergillaceae.